This is a long non-coding RNA of Lytechinus pictus (painted urchin), 203 nucleotides long. RefSeq lists it as uncharacterized. NCBI's taxonomy places the organism in Eukaryota, Metazoa, Echinodermata, Echinoidea, Temnopleuroida, Toxopneustidae. The record is from RefSeq and is a predicted model, not a curated record. The transcript has 2 exons.
UGCACCGUUUUACCGUAGAGUAGGUCCAUGGUUUAACAAAUCAAGAGGAUAAACGUCAUAGUACUCCAACGCUGGAUAAACAUAGGACAAAUCAUUUCCACUGACCAUUUUGAGUAGUGUUAAAACAGGGAUCUGUCCACAUAGAAAAUAUAGUGAGAGCAAAAGAAUCAGAUGGAUCAGAUAUCGUGGAAAUAGUUAAUGAG